Molecule: long non-coding RNA, 251 nt
Organism: Arachis stenosperma
Lineage: Eukaryota; Viridiplantae; Streptophyta; Magnoliopsida; Fabales; Fabaceae
Exons: 3
Source: RefSeq, a predicted model, not a curated record
AGGCUACAUUGGUUCACAUGCUACGCUUCGGCUUCUGAAGGAAAAUUAUCGUGUCACUAUAGUAGACAAUCUGUCACGAGGAAAUAUGGGUGCCGUCAGAGUUCUUCAAAAUUUAUUUCCAGAACCAGGAAGGCUUCAAUUUAUAUAUGCUGACUUGGGAGAUCAGACAUCUGUUAAUAAAAUAUUUUUGGAGAAUAAGUUUGAUGCUGUGAUGCACUUUGCUGCUGUUGCAUAUGUUGGGGAAAGCACUG